UGGUGUGAUGGUCAACGUUCACCAUGCCGCUCUCCAGGGAAGAAAAAGUCCUGAUUUGUAGCAUUUGCAGAUUUCCGUGUUGCAAACACUCUCACCAACCUUCCAUUACUAAAGGUGGAGUUAGGAAGAGAUCACACACACAACUGGUUUGCAUGAGCUGCUGAGAGCCAGCUCCAGGAUACCACAGUGCCUGUUCCCUUCUGAAGAUGAAAUUUCUCAUCGUCUCUGGACAUACCCCAGAGACCUUGGACCAUGGAGAAGAUACUUACCUUUUUCUGUGGGAGGAGCCAGUGCAUGGAGGAAGCGUGGUGCUCAACUGUCUACAUCAGAGUGCUGGAAUGUACAUGUCACCAGGCUAUUUUUCAUUAAAAAGUGAUGACAGCUAAAUAUAUUCCCUGACUCUGCGGCUAAUAACUUCCUGACUUAGACCUCACUUGCUAGACCCAUUCCUGAAACCAGACCGCACUAGUCCCUGUGGGGCUUCUAUUAUUGGUGAGCCAUCUCAACAGAUGCAGGUCUAACCAAAUCCAUGUCUAAUAUAAGCAUGCAAAUUGGGAGAUGAAAGGGAAAAUUUUAUGUGCUGAAUCACAAUCCACAGAGAGAGAAGUAGGGGCAUAAGCAGCUGCCUGGAAGACAGGACACCAAAAGUCAUUGUCAUAGAGGUCCUAAGCAGCACAGGGUUCAUUCCGUCCAGCCAUCAUUCAUAGCUAUGCCCUUUGAAUAUUCAUCUCUCACAUUAAAAAUAUUUGCCUGGCUACCCUGUUAUGAAGGCAGUAUGUGUAUAUCAAAGCAUGGUUUUUGCAGUGAGACACACAUGAAGCAUUUUAUCUGCAUUUUAAUACCAUUUAAUCCUCACUAUUAUUAUGCCCAUUUUACAGCUAGGAGAACUGAGUCACAAGGACACAAGUGGAAGUUCUUGAAUUAAAACCAAAAUAAGCCUAAUUCUAACAGCUGAGCUCUUUGCCAAUUUAUUUUAAGUCUCAUUUCCCUGCUGACCAACUCUCCCUUCGUCUUGCUUCAAAAACCACACUAAUUUCUUCUUCUCCUAUUUUCUUUUUUUUUUUCUGAGACAGGGUCUCACUCCCAUCACCCAGGCUGGAGUGCAGUGGCAUGAUCAUGGCUCACUGCAGCCUCGACUUCCUGGGCUCAGGUGAUUGUCCCACCUCAGCCUCCCGAGUAGCUGGAACUACAGGUGCAUGCCACCACACCCGGCUUUUUUUCUUUUUUUUCUUUUUAGUAGAGACUGGGAUCUUGACAUAUUGCCCAGGCUGGUCUCAAACUCCUGGGCUCAAGCGAUCCACCUCUCUCAGCCUCCCACAGUGCUAUGAUUACAGGCAAGAGCCACAGCACCAGGCCUAUUUCUUCUUUUAAGAGCUUGCCAAAUGCUACUAUCUUAACUUGGAACUUCUCCCCACCUCCAUCCCUUAAACCUAUCCAAGUUCUAGCCACGCUUUAAGGCUCUAGUAGGAAAGUCUCAACUUUCCUGUAAUGUUUUCUCAGAUGAUUCUAACCCAGGUAGACAUCCCACUCAUAUUACAUGUACUGCCUCUGUUGGCAUUAAUUUGGCGUUGCCUCAGUUGUACCAUUUCAUAACUUGUUUGGCUUAUUUUCUGACCUAAUGCGCAAAUUGUCAAGGGCAGAAACCAUGUGUAGACCUCAUAAUGCUAAGUUCUAAGUAGAUACUAAAAAUUUUUUUAAUGAAUGAAUAAUACUGAUACCAUAGGUCUAUUGAUGGACUGAAGCUCUGAAUAUUCUAGAACUGGGAGGAAGAUUCAACAUUUUUGAAGGCUUACUACGUGCUAAGCCCUAAGUUAGGCAUUUUAUACAAUGAUUUUAUUUAAACCUAUAUGGCUGAUAUUGUGACUUCCAUUUUACAGAUUUUUUAAAAGGUCCAGAGAGGUUAAGAAAUUUGCUAACACAGGGCUGGGUGUGGUGGCUCAUGCCUGUAAUCCCAGCACUUUGGGAGGCCGAGGCGGGCAAAUCACGAGGUCAGGAGUUCGAGACCAGCAUGGCCAACAUGGUAAAACCCCGUCCCUACUAAAAAUACAAAAAAUUAGCUGGGUGUGGUGGUGGGCGCCUGUAAUCCCAGCUACUUGGGAGGCUGAGGCAGGAAAAUCACUUAAAUCUGGGAGGCGGAGGUUGCAGUGAGCCAAGAUCAUGCCACUGCACUCCAGCCCAGGAGAUAGUGUGAGGCUCUGUCUCAAAGAAAAGGAAAUUUGCUAACACGUUAUUAGAUUGUGGCAGAGCUACGACUUAAAUGUAGACUAGUCUGACUCCAAAGCCCGCACCACACAGCCACAUGGGUCAUCACUGCAUCUGUGAACGAGUUAACCUACACAAACCCCAGGGGACGGGGAUCGUAGCUAGCCCAGAAAGAAAUGACAAAUGGUCACUUGGUAAUACAUUCUAGGUUCUGUUAACUCUAAUAUUCAGAAAGUUGUUCUUCAUGUCUGACUUAAUUCUCUCCUGCUUCCAUUUCAUGCCAUUUCCCCUUGUUUUGUAGUCAAGCAUAUGGAAAACAUCUGGCUACCAUUUCCUAGACACCACUCCUUCUUGGUCUAAAAAAUUCCUGUGGUAGCAGCUCAACUUUAUUUUGUGUCAUCUAAAAUAUAGCCACACACCUUUUAGAGUGUAGGUUGUCCUAACUGAUAGGCUUUCCUACCCAGGCAGAAUUAUAGCUGUCAGCAGGGAAAAUGAGUGAGAGCUACUGGCAGGAUGAGCUAAUCCGUGGUCAGAUGCUCUUGGAUCAAAGAUUCAUGCUGAAACCAGCCGUCAGAGCAAAGAAGCCAAGUUCAUGGAUGAAAAAAAAAUGAGGCUGGGAAGCACAAUGCACCCCAGUGACCUACCAUUACCACUGGCCUCAAAAUAGCCUUGGAGCCAGGAUAGGGGGUGGGAGAAUAUAGAAACCAGGCAAGUAGGCCAUGGCAGAGAUUAAUUUGGGGAAACCAAGGAUGGGCAGACAGCCCCCAUCCCCUGGCAUCUGGGGAACAAGGGCAGCUGUACAGGAAACAUAAAAACACAGUGGAGACCAGAGGAGGGGAGUCAAAUGAGAAUGCUAAAUGUUUGGAACCCAGUGGCUAAGAAAGACGUUGCCAAGUGUCACACUGAAAACAGGAAAGCUUUCCUGGGCCCUGGGUGUGGAGGCCACCGAACAAUGAAAGGGGAAGCCUGUAAGAAGAAUAACAAUGACACGGAAGCCUGCUCCAGCCUGGUGAAAUCCCUUCUGCAGUUUUUACAAGAAGCAAAACAAACAACAGUCUGACCCCUCGGCUCGCCCCCGACGCCACACCCCCUCCUCAGUCCGCAUGUUGGGUCAGGAAGGGCAGUGGUGUGGCCAGAUCCAUGAAAGGGAUUCUAAGAACAAAGCCUGUGCCGUUUACCUGCAGAUCAAAGUUUGCCGUUAAUAACAUGUGUGUUGGAGAGGGCAGAGAGAGGACCGUUGCCCCUGCAUUCCAUUAAAAAGGGAUUAUGGGCUGUCUGACCAGAUGACAGAGCCAAGGUUGGAGAAUUCUUCCAAAGAAUACCUCAAGGCAACAAAACUGUCAUUUCUUACAGAGGAGCUGCCCAAUCUUUCACCUUCUGCUGUGCUCACCUAUGAUGCCAGCCCCCAUAACAACAAAAUCUUUCUCUUGAAGAAGAGUAAUGUAACUUUUCCAGGAAUGCUCAUGUUUUUCUCUCAACCGGGAAAUUAGAUAUUGAAAAGGAACAGUCUUUGUUACCUUAGAGUUAUUCUGAAAGUUUAAUUUCUUUUUAAGCAGAAAAUAUAGACUCAAAAUGCAGAGGAAGCAUUUCUGUAUCCAUGCAAGAAAAAAAAAUGAUAAAGAAACUAGAGUGGAUAUGAUCUAAUAAGCAUGUUAGGGACAAACCCUAAAGAUAACUCAAGGAUUUUAAAAGGAUUAAUGGCAAGUCAUGAUGAUUCAUGCCAGUAAUCCCAGCACUUUAGGAGGCUGAGGUGGCAGGAUGACUUGUGCCCAGGACUUCAAGACCAGCCUGGGCAACAUAGUGAAACCUCGUCCUUACGAAUAAUUUAAAAAGAAAAAAAUUAGCUGGUCAUGGUGGUGUGUGCCUGUGGACCCAGCUGUUUGAGAGGCUGAAGUGGCAGGAUCACUUGAGCCAGGGAUUUUAAUGCUGCAGUGAGUCAUAUGGACUUCACUGCACUCCAACGUGAGAGACAAAGCGAGACCCCAUCUCAAAUAAAACAAAAUAAUUAAUGUUGUUUAUGAGAAAAGAAGUAAUGGAAAUGUGAAGAGGUGAUUCUGCAGGCCAACCAGAAGCUAUGGAAAAGACCACCUUAAGCUCAAAGAAAAAUACAGACUCAGUUGUUACCACCGAAGUCUUAUCAAAAACCUUCACCAGUCACGGAGCUUUUUUUUUUUAUAUAUAUACUUUAAGUUUUAGGGUACAUGUGCACAAUGUGCAGGUUAGUUACAUAUGUAUACAUGUGACAUGCUGGUGUGCUGCACCCACUAAGUCAUCAUCUAGCAUUAGGUAUAUCUCCCAGUGCUAUCCCUCCCCUCUCCCACCACCCCACAACAGUCCUCAGAGUGUGAUGUUCCCCCUCCUGUGUCCAUGUGUUCCCAUUGUUCAAUUCCCACCUAUGAGUGAGAAUAUGCGGU
This 4616-nucleotide long non-coding RNA is filed under the name Homo sapiens (human). Its description in RNAcentral is "HSALNT0182494". Lineage: Eukaryota; Metazoa; Chordata; Mammalia; Primates; Hominidae. The record is from RNAcentral.